UUAUGUUGUCAAGAUAAGCCAUGCAUGUCUAAGUAUAAGCAACUAUACGGUGAAACUGCGAAUGGCUCAUUAAAUCAGUUAUCGUUUAUUUGAUAGUACCUUACUACAUGGAUAACCGUGGUAAUUCUAGAGCUAAUACAUGCUAAAAACCUCGACUUCGGAAGGGGUGUAUUUAUUAGAUAAAAAACCAAUGCCCUUCGGGGCUCCUUGGUGAAUCAUAAUAACUUAACGAAUCGCAUGGCCUUGCGCCGGCGAUGGUUCAUUCAAAUUUCUGCCCUAUCAACUUUCGAUGGUAGGAUAGUGGCCUACCAUGGUAUCAACGGGUAACGGGGAAUUAGGGUUCGACUCCGGAGAGGGAGCCUGAGAAACGGCUACCACAUCCAAGGAAGGCAGCAGGCGCGCAAAUUACCCAAUCCCGACACGGGGAGGUAGUGACAAUAAAUACUGAUACAGGGCUCUUUUGGGUCUUGUAAUUGGAAUGAGUACAAUUUAAAUCCCUUAACGAGGAACAAUUGGAGGGCAAGUCUGGUGCCAGCAGCCGCGGUAAUUCCAGCUCCAAUAGCGUAUAUUAAAGUUGUUGCAGUUAAAAAGCUCGUAGUUGAACCUUGGGCCUGGCUGGCCGGUCCGCCUCACCGCGUGUACUGGUCCGGCCGGGCCUUUCCUUCUGGGGAACCUCAUGCCCUUCACUGGGCGUGUUGGGGAACCAGGACUUUUACUUUGAAAAAAUUAGAGUGUUCAAAGCAGGCCUUUGCUCGAAUACAUUAGCAUGGAAUAAUAGAAUAGGACGUGUG
RNAcentral lists this ribosomal RNA (791 nucleotides) under Cladosporium sp. RNAcentral describes it as "SSU rRNA". It matches the Rfam family "Eukaryotic small subunit ribosomal RNA", at positions 32 to 833 of the family's 1831-position model. The record is from RNAcentral. Lineage: Eukaryota; Fungi; Ascomycota; Dothideomycetes; Cladosporiales; Cladosporiaceae.